This 245-nucleotide ribosomal RNA is filed under the name uncultured Oligosphaera sp. RNAcentral's name for it is "partial 16S ribosomal RNA". It matches the Rfam family "Bacterial small subunit ribosomal RNA", at positions 796 to 1041 of the family's 1533-position model. The record is from RNAcentral. Lineage: Bacteria; Pseudomonadati; Lentisphaerota; Oligosphaeria; Oligosphaerales; Oligosphaeraceae.
CACGCCGUAAACUUUGUGAACUAGAUGUGCCCGGGCUGGCCCCGGGCGUGUCCAAGCUAACGCGAUAAGUUCACCGCCUGGGGACUACGGCCGCAAGGCUAAAACUCAAAGGAAUUGACGGGGGCCCGCACAAGCGGUGGAGCAUGUUGCUUAAUUCGAGGCAACGCGAAGAACCUUACCCGGGUUUGACAUGCAAAGGACCGCCGGUGAAAGCCGGCCUCCCUUCGGGGUCUUUGCACAGAUGC